Molecule: transfer RNA, 84 nt
Filed under: Colletotrichum higginsianum
Lineage: Eukaryota; Fungi; Ascomycota; Sordariomycetes; Glomerellales; Glomerellaceae
Description: tRNA CH063_16319
Rfam family: tRNA
About the family: Transfer RNA (tRNA) molecules are approximately 80 nucleotides in length. Their secondary structure includes four short double-helical elements and three loops (D, anti-codon, and T loops).
Source: RNAcentral
GGACCUCUGGCGCAACGGUAGCGCGUUCGACUCCAGUUCUGGRWUGUCAUCGAAAGGUUAUCCGUUCAAAUCGGGUGGGGKUCA